RNAcentral lists this ribosomal RNA (274 nucleotides) under uncultured bacterium. RNAcentral describes it as "partial 16S ribosomal RNA". It matches the Rfam family "Bacterial small subunit ribosomal RNA", at positions 523 to 796 of the family's 1533-position model. The record is from RNAcentral.
AUACGAAGGGGGCUAGCGUUGUUCGGAAUUACUGGGCGUAAAGCGCGCGUAGGCGGACUGAUCAGUUGGGGGUGAAAUCCCAGGGCUUAACCCUGGAACUGCCUCCAAUACUGUCAGUCUUGAGUUCGGGAGAGGUGAGUGGAAUUCCUAGUGUAGAGGUGAAAUUCGUAGAUAUUAGGAAGAACACCAGUGGCGAAGGCGGCUCACUGGCUCGAUACUGACGCUGAGGCGCGAAAGCGUGGGGAGCAAACAGGAUUAGAAACCCCUGUAGUCC